Molecule: ribosomal RNA, 818 nt
Filed under: uncultured Bacillota bacterium
Lineage: Bacteria; Bacillati; Bacillota
Description: bacterial SSU rRNA
Rfam family: Bacterial small subunit ribosomal RNA
Source: RNAcentral
CAAGUCGAGCGAGAAAGGGGGCAACCCCUUGAGUACAGCGGCGUUACGGGUGAGUAACACGUGGAUCAUCUACCUUUUAGUGGGGAAUAACUUUGGGAAACCGAAGCUAAUACCGCAUAAGCCUGUAAAGGGAAAGCAGCAAUGCGCUGGAAGAGGAGUCCGCGGCCGAUUAGCUAGUUGGUGAGGUAACGGCCCACCAAGGCGACGAUCGGUAGCCGGCCUGAGAGGGCACACGGCCACACUGGCACUGAAACACGGGCCAGACUCCUACGGGAGGCAGCAGUGGGGAAUCUUGCACAAUGGAGGAAACUCUGAUGCAGCGACGCCGCGUGAGCGAUGAAGCCCUUCGGGGUGUAAAGCUCUUUCGGCAGGAACGAUAAUGACGGUACCUGAAGAAGAAGCUGCGGCUAACUACGUGCCAGCAGCCGCGGUAAUACGUAGGCAGCAAGCGUUGUUCGGAAUUACUGGGCGUAAAGAGUGUGUAGGCGGUGCUCUAAGUUCGGUGUGAAAUCUCCCGGCUCAACUGGGAGGGUGCGCCGGAAACUGGAAUGCUUGAGCGUGGGAGAGGAAAGCGGAAUUCCUGGUGUAGCGGUGAAAUGCGUAGAUAUCAGGAGGAACACCUGCGGUGUAGACGGCUUUCUGGACCAUUGCUGACGCUGAGACACGAAAGCGUGGGUAGCAAACAGGAUUAGAUACCCUGGUAGUCCACGCCCUAAACGAUGCAUACUUGGUGUCGGCCAUUCAGUUGGUCGGUGCCGGAGCUAACGCGUUAAGUAUGCCGCCUGGGGAGUACGUUCGCAAGGAUGAAACUCAAAGGA